Molecule: ribosomal RNA, 779 nt
Filed under: uncultured Neocallimastigales
Lineage: Eukaryota; Fungi; Neocallimastigomycota; Neocallimastigomycetes; Neocallimastigales
Description: partial large subunit ribosomal RNA
Rfam family: Eukaryotic large subunit ribosomal RNA
Source: RNAcentral
UUAUCUCUGUAGAGUCUGCAUAUCAAUAAGCGGAGGAAAAGAAACUAACAAGGAUUCCCUUAGUAACGGCGAGUGAAGCGGGAAGAGCUCAAAUUUGAAAUCUUCAAGGUUUUACCUUGACGAAUUGUAGUUUAAAGAAGUGUUUUCUGUUGAAGUUUCGGUAAAAGUUCUUUGGAAUAGGACAUCAUAGAGGGUGAGAAUCCCGUAUUUGACCGUUAUUUUCAGCUGUGUGAUACACUUUCAAAGUGUCGGAUUGUUUGGGAAUGCAGUCCAAAAUGGGUGGUAAAUUUCAUCUAAAGCUAAAUAUUGGCGAGAGACCGAUAGGCGAACAAGUACCGUGAGGGAAAGAUGAAAAGAACUUUGAAAGGAGAGUUAAACAGUACGUGAAAUUGUCAAAAGGGAAGCGUUUGACACCAGUGUUGUUUUCUCGAAAAUCAAUUAAAAAUGACUUGAUUUUGUGUCGUAUUGACCUUUAUAAGCUUUCUUCACUCUUUUCAUUGUCUUUUUUAGUGCACUUUUCGUUUAACAAGUCAACAUCAGUUUCUUUUGUUGUAAAAAGGUCAUUGGAAGGUGGCUUUCUUCUCGGAGAAAGUGUUUAUAGCCUUUGACUCCUGCAAUCGGAGAGACUGAGGUCUGCAGCGUAGAUCCUUCUUGGAUUAGAUUCAUUUGUGCUAAGUUAUAACUUUUCAUAGACAACUUGUUGACUAUGUUUAGUCUUGUAGCUUACUCGCUUAUGUAAUUUUACCUACGCUUAGGAUGUUGAUCUCUCACAGUCGAGC